UACGGAGGGUGCAAGCGUUGAUCGGAUUUACUGGGCGUAAAGUGUGCGCAGGUGGCCGCGCAAGUCGAGUGUGAAAGCCCCGGGCUUAACUUGGGAAUUGCGCUCGAAACUACGCGGCUAGAGUGUGGCAGAGGAAGGUGGAAUUCCACGUGUAGCGGUGAAAUGCGUAGAGAUGUGGAGGAACACCGAUGGCGAAGGCAGCCUUCUGGGCCAACACUGACGCUCAUGCACGAAAGCGUGGGGAGCAAACAGG
RNAcentral lists this ribosomal RNA (253 nucleotides) under uncultured bacterium. RNAcentral describes it as "partial 16S ribosomal RNA". It matches the Rfam family "Bacterial small subunit ribosomal RNA", at positions 524 to 776 of the family's 1533-position model. The record is from RNAcentral.